This 314-nucleotide ribosomal RNA is filed under the name uncultured bacterium. RNAcentral's name for it is "bacterial SSU rRNA". It matches the Rfam family "Bacterial small subunit ribosomal RNA", at positions 28 to 334 of the family's 1533-position model. The record is from RNAcentral.
GAUGAACGCUAGCGGCGGGCUUAACACAUGCAAGUCGAGGGGCAGCAUAAACAUUGUUUGCAAUGUUUGAUGGCGACCGGCGCACGGGUGCGUAACGCGUAUGUAACCUACCUCAAACAGGGGCAUAACACUGAGAAAUUGGUACUAAUUCCCCAUAACACUCAUUAAGGCAUCUUUUUGAGUUGAAAGUUCCGGCGGUUUGAGAUGGACAUGCGUUGUAUUAGCUAGUUGGUGAGGUAACGGCUCACCAAGGCGACGAUACAUAGGGGGACUGAGAGGUUAACCCCCCACAUUGGUACUGAGACACGGACCAA